Molecule: ribosomal RNA, 492 nt
Filed under: uncultured bacterium
Lineage: Bacteria
Description: partial 16S ribosomal RNA
Rfam family: Bacterial small subunit ribosomal RNA
Source: RNAcentral
AGUGAACGCUGGCGGUAGGCCUAACACAUGCGAGUCGAACGGCAGCACAGUAAGAGCUUGCUCUUACGGGUGGCGAGUGGCGGACGGGUGAGGAAUACAUCGGAAUCUACUUUUUCGUGGGGGAUAACGUAGGGAAACUUACGCUAAUACCGCAUACGACCUACGGGUGAAAGCAGGGGAUCUUCGGACCUUGCGCGAUUGAAUGAGCCGAUGUCGGAUUAGCUAGUUGGCGGGGUAAAGGCCCACCAAGGCGACGAUCCGUAGCUGGUCUGAGAGGAUGAUCAGCCACACUGGAACUGAGACACGGUCCAGACUCCUACGGGAGGCAGCAGUGGGGAAUACUGGACAAUGGGCGCAAGCCUGAUCCAGCCAUACCGCGUGGGUGAAGAAGGCCUUCGGGUUGUAAAGCCCUUUUGUUGGGAAAGAAAAGCAGCAGGUUAAUACCCCGCUGUUCUGACGGUACCCAAAGAAUAAGCACCGGCUAACUUCGUG